AACCUUAAAAAUAAGCUUUAGCAAGCUUAAAUUAAAGCUUUCUAAGCUCUAACUUUGCCUUUACUCCAUGGUAGAGGUUUCCCCAACCUUUGGCUUAAGUAGAGAAUCUCCAAAUUUCUUGAAACUAAUCACCACAAAUCACUUCUCAAGCUUAAUUCUCUAAGAUUAAUUACUUAAAUCAAGUUGGGUGGGUUUAAUUUGGUGGAUUUAACAAGUAAGAAGUGAAGAAAAACAAAGAAGAGAAGAAGAAGAGGAAGUGGCGUUGAAGAGAAGAAGAAGAAGAGAAAAAG
RNAcentral lists this long non-coding RNA (290 nucleotides) under Jatropha curcas. RNAcentral describes it as "long non-coding RNA (JCUR_LNC002463)". The record is from RNAcentral. Lineage: Eukaryota; Viridiplantae; Streptophyta; Magnoliopsida; Malpighiales; Euphorbiaceae.